UUAACCACAGACUCGUUAAUUGCUCGUUAA
Molecule: non-coding RNA, 30 nt
Filed under: Rattus norvegicus (Norway rat)
Lineage: Eukaryota; Metazoa; Chordata; Mammalia; Rodentia; Muridae
Source: RNAcentral